This 468-nucleotide ribosomal RNA is filed under the name uncultured bacterium. RNAcentral's name for it is "partial 16S ribosomal RNA". It matches the Rfam family "Bacterial small subunit ribosomal RNA", at positions 28 to 507 of the family's 1533-position model. The record is from RNAcentral.
GACGAACGCUGGCGGCGUGCUUAACACAUGCAAGUCGAACGGAAAGGCCCUGCUUUUGUUGGGUGCUCGAGUAGCGGGCGGGUGAGAAACAAGUGAGUAACCUGCCCUUGACUUUUGAAUAACUUCAGGAAACUGUGGCUCCUACCGGAUAGGAGCUCCUCCUGGAUGGGGGGGGUUGGCAAGUUUGGGCGGUUGGGGAUGGUCGCGCGGCUUGUCAGUUUGUUGGUGGGGUACUGGCUUACCAAGGCUUUGAGGGGUAGCCGGCCUGAGAGGGUGACCGGCAACAUUGGGAUGGAGAUACGGCCCAGACUCCUCCGGGAGGCAGAGGGGGGGAAUAUGGAAAAAUGGGCGGAAGCCGGAUGCAGCAACGCCGCGUGCGGGAGGACGGCCUUCGGGUUGUAACCCGUUUUCGCCUGUGACGAGGCGUGAGUGACGGUAAUGGGUAAAGAAGCACCGGCUAACUACGUG